GAUGAACGCUGGCGGCGUGCCUAACACAUGCAAGUCGAGCGAAGCGGUUUUAAGGAAGUUUUCGGAUGGAAUUAAAACUGACUGAGCGGCGGACGGGUGAGUAACGCGUGGGUAACCUGCCUCAUACAGGGGGAUAACAGUUAGAAAUGGCUGCUAAUACCGCAUAAGCACACAGCUUCGCAUGGAGCAGUGUGAAAAACUCCGGUGGUAUGAGAUGGACCCGCGUCUGAUUAGCUAGUUGGUAAGGUAACGGCUUACCAAGGCGACGAUCAGUAGCCGACCUGAGAGGGUGACCGGCCACAUUGGGACUGAGACACGGCCCAAACUCCUACGGGAGGCAGCAGUGGGGAAUAUUGCACAAUGGGGGAAACCCUGAUGCAGCGACGCCGCGUGAGUGAAGAAGUAUCUCGGUAUGUAAAGCUCUAUCAGCAGGGAAGAAAAUGACGGUACCUGACUAAGAAGCCCCGGCUAACUACGUGCCAGCAGCCGCGGUAAUACGUAGGGGGCAAGCGUUAUCCGGAUUUACUGGGUGUAAAGGGAGCGUAGACGGCGGAGCAAGUCUGAAGUGAAAGCCCGGGGCUCAACCCCGGGACUGCUUUGGAAACUGUUCUGCUAGAGUGCUGGAGAGGUAAGUGGAAUUCCUAGUGUAGCGGUGAAAUGCGUAGAUAUUAGGAGGAACACCAGUGGCGAAGGCGGCUUACUGGACAGUAACUGACGUUGAGGCUCGAAAGCGUGGGGAGCAAACAGGAUUAGAUACCCUGGUAGUCCACGCCGUAAACGAUG
Molecule: ribosomal RNA, 783 nt
Filed under: uncultured bacterium
Lineage: Bacteria
Description: bacterial SSU rRNA
Rfam family: Bacterial small subunit ribosomal RNA
Source: RNAcentral